UUAAAUACGCGACGGGGU
RNAcentral lists this small nuclear RNA (18 nucleotides) under Arabidopsis thaliana (thale cress). RNAcentral describes it as "snRNA_06757". Lineage: Eukaryota; Viridiplantae; Streptophyta; Magnoliopsida; Brassicales; Brassicaceae. The record is from RNAcentral.